GACGAACGCUGGCGGCGUGCUUAACACAUGCAAGUCGAACGGAAAGGCCCUGCUUUUGUGGGGUGCUCGAGUGGCGAACGGGUGAGUAACACGUGAGUAACCUGCCCUUGACUUUGGGAUAACUUCAGGAAACUGGGGCUAAUACCGGAUAGGAGCUCCUGCUGCAUGGUGGGGGUUGGAAAGUUUCGGCGGUUGGGGAUGGACUCGCGGCUUAUCAGCUUGUUGGUGGGGUAGUGGCUUACCAAGGCUUUGACGGGUAGCCGGCCUGAGAGGGUGACCGGCCCCAUUGGGACUGGGGUACGGCCCCGACUCCUACGGGAGGCCGGAGUUGGGAAUAUUGCACAAUGGGCGGAAGCCUGAUGCAGCAACGCCGCGUGCGGGAUGACGGCCUUCGGGUUGUAAACCGCUUUCGCCUGUGACGAAGCGUGAGUGACGGUAAUGGGUAAAGAAGCACCGGCUAACUACGUG
Molecule: ribosomal RNA, 468 nt
Filed under: uncultured bacterium
Lineage: Bacteria
Description: partial 16S ribosomal RNA
Rfam family: Bacterial small subunit ribosomal RNA
Source: RNAcentral